Long non-coding RNA from Helianthus annuus (common sunflower), 481 nucleotides. RefSeq lists it as uncharacterized. The transcript is spliced from 3 exons. NCBI's taxonomy places the organism in Eukaryota, Viridiplantae, Streptophyta, Magnoliopsida, Asterales, Asteraceae. The record is from RefSeq and is a predicted model, not a curated record.
ACUCAAAACACACAAUUGUGUGUGUUCUGUAGUUCGAUCAAAACCACAGGAACAGAGUUCCUCAUCUCAAACCCUAAUUCCCUCAAAUACUACCCAAAAAUCAAAGAAGGAAUUAAGUAGGAAUCGAUUUCAAGCUAAAUUCGUGAUCAUUACACUUAGGGGAUCACAAGGCAAUUUGGGUGGAAACUCAAGUAAUCAAGGAAGAUUAGAUACCCGUUUGAAAGGAAAGCGUUAAAGGUAAUCCUAGCAACUUGCUGAUGAAGAUCAAGCUUGUUAGAGGAUCAAACACGCACACAUGAUGAAGCUUCCACUAAAUUAAUCGUGUCUUUUGGGUCACUAAACUUAUGUUUAAUAAGUAUAACUAUCUUUGUGAUGUUUAACUUAUGUAAAUACUGUUUAAAGGUUUCGAAAGUUAAGUAUGUGUAGUUAUGACAACAAGAUUUAAAUCUUUAAUAAAAGUCUUUUGAAGGUUUGAACUUUA